GCCCGGUUAGCUCAGAUGGUAAACAUCAGACUUUUGAUCUGAGGUUCAUGGGUUCGAGCCCCAUAUCGGGCG
Molecule: transfer RNA, 72 nt
Filed under: Nematostella vectensis (starlet sea anemone)
Lineage: Eukaryota; Metazoa; Cnidaria; Anthozoa; Actiniaria; Edwardsiidae
Rfam family: tRNA
About the family: Transfer RNA (tRNA) molecules are approximately 80 nucleotides in length.
Source: Rfam by way of RNAcentral